ACGGCUCAGUAACACGUCGGUAACUUGCCCUACGGUCAGGCAUAAGCUCGGGAAACUGAGUGUAAUACNUGAUAUGGGAUGGACACUGGAAUGUUCCUUCCUUGAAACUCGUGCCGUAGGAUAGGCCGGCGGCGGAUUAGGCAGUUGGUGAGGUAACGGCUCACCAAACCUAUGAUCCGUACGGGCCAUGAGAGUGGUCGCCCCGAGAAGGGCACUGAGAUAAGGGCCCUAGCUCUAAGGAGUGCAGCAGGCGAGUAUUCUUUACAAUGCGCGAAAGCGUGAUAAGGGGAAUCUGAGUGCUCACUAUUUUAUAGUGGGCUUUUGCCAAGUGUAAAUAGCUUGGAGAAUAAGUGAUGGGUAAGACCGGUGCCAGCCGCCGCGGUAACCCCGGCGUCACAAGUGGCACUCACGUUUAUUGGGUCUAAAGCAUCCGUAGCCGACAGAAUAAGUUUUUUGUGAAAUUGUUAAACUAAACUUAACAACGUGCAGAAAAUACUAUUUUGUUAGAGACUGGGAGAAGGUAAGGGUAUUCCUUGGGUAGCGGUAAAAUGUUAUAAUCCUUGGAGGACCACCAAUGGCGAAGGCAUUUACCUAGAACAGAUCUGACGGUGAGGGAUGAAAGCUAUGGGAGCGAACCGGAUUAGAUACCCGAGUAGUCAUAGCUGUAAACUCUGCAAACUAGGUGUUGCAUAUUCUUCGUGAAUAUGCAGUGCCGGAGUGAAGAUGUUAAG
Molecule: ribosomal RNA, 731 nt
Filed under: uncultured euryarchaeote
Lineage: Archaea; Methanobacteriati; Methanobacteriota
Description: bacterial SSU rRNA
Rfam family: Archaeal small subunit ribosomal RNA
Source: RNAcentral